RNAcentral lists this ribosomal RNA (243 nucleotides) under uncultured bacterium. RNAcentral describes it as "partial 16S ribosomal RNA". It matches the Rfam family "Bacterial small subunit ribosomal RNA", at positions 534 to 776 of the family's 1533-position model. The record is from RNAcentral.
GCAAGCGUUGUUCGGAAUUACUGGGCGUAAAGGGUGCGUAGGCGGCUUUCUAAGUUGGAUGUGAAAACUCUGGGCUCAACCCAGAGCCUGCAUCCAAAACUGGAGAGCUAGGGUUCUGGAGGGGAAAGCGGAAUUCCUGGUGUAGCGGUGAAAUGCGUAGAUAUCAGGAGGAACACCGGUGGCGAAGGCGGCUUUCUGGACAGAUACCGACGCUGAGGCACGAAAGCUAGGGGAGCAAACAGG